GAUGAAGAACGUAGCGAAAUGCGAUAAGUAAUGUGAAUUGCAGAAUUCAGUGAAUCAUCGAAUCUUUGAACGCACAUUGCGCCCGCCAGUAUUCUGGCGGGCAUGCCUGUUCGAGCGUCAUUUCAACCAUCAAGCCCCCGGGCUUGUGUUGGGGACCUGCGGCUGCCGCAGGCCCCGAAAAUCAGUGGCGGGCUCGCUGUCACCCCGAGCGUAGUAGUUUACACCUCGCCCAGGGCGUGCCGCGGGUUCCCGGCCGUUAAACCCCCCCAUACCACAAGGUUGACCUCGGAUCAGGUAGGAAGACCCGCUGAACUUAAGCAUAUCAAUAAGCGGAGGA
Molecule: unclassified non-coding RNA, 337 nt
Filed under: soil metagenome
Description: partial contains 5.8S ribosomal RNA, internal transcribed spacer 2, and large subunit ribosomal RNA
Rfam family: 5.8S ribosomal RNA (bases 1-120)
Source: RNAcentral